UCGAAAACCUCCAAAGGAUUCAUCUAAGUUUUAAAAAAAGUUAACAACAAAACAAAGGGUUAGCAUUCACAAUGACCAAAAUAAUAACGAGAAGACAAACAUAAAUAAUAAAUUAUAAAACUGAAAUUUCGGGAGCUGAAAUGUCGAUUUGUUACUUCGUCGAUUUUGGUUUUUAACCCCCAUUUCAUGCUUCUUGCUUAGCUGCUGCCGGGAUUACUAUAUAAAUUGGACUUGAAUCAACAAUUUGUGUCCCUUUGGGGACCUGUAGUUGCUGCUUCAGGUUUGGCCUUUUAAGGCUACUGCUGCUGUUGCAUUUUUUGGGUGUUUAAACCCAAUUUUUGCUCCUCAUUUGAGCUAUUUGGAGCUGUUGUUGCUGCUGAUUUUUGGGUGUUUAACCCAAUAACAUGACUCCCUUUCACGACUCCGAAGAAGGUUGACACAAGAAGUGGAAUAAUGCAAGAGAAGUGGAGUCCAUUGAACUCGAAGUGCUCAUGCAGAGUAGAGAAAAGGAAGAAAAGAUAAGAAUUAGAAUCAAUCAUAAAUAAUAUUAAUCUAAGCCAGUGAACAUUCAAAACUAGAUAACAUAUCUCAAAUAAACAGUUUAAGACACAAAAUGGAAAGGAACUUUAAAUGAGCUCACAUUAAAAAUCAAAAUGAGACCAACAUCUAUUUGAGAAGCAAAGAAACCUUGAGAUAAUUUGAAUUACACGGGGCAUUUAAAAAGAAAACAAAUCGACUAGACCUAAAAGAGAAUAAUAUCUAACAUAAGAACAAACAAGAGGCUUCUUAUCCAUUUCCGAUAUAAUUAAGAAAACUAAACUAUAAAGAGCAAAUCACCUGUAUUUAAGAAACUAUUAAGACGAGAAAUAAAAUACUAGAACCAAAGUUUUGAAUCCAAUUACCCAACUUACAUAUUUAAAGCUUUCAAACCAGUGAGUUGUUGUUCAUUACACAUAACAAAACUAAGCAUCUACAACAGGAAUUAACGCAGAACAGAAACUAUACAAAGCAAGUAUAGAUGGCAUAGAACAUGCUACUUAACAAAAUAAAGAGGUUUAUGAUACUAACCCAUAUAAAACAACAAAGAAAUCAUACUAUCAAAUAUUAAAACGACAUGCAUAUCCUGAAGCAUUUAAUUCAAAAUCUAACAGAAAGGAAAGCAACCCGCAACUAAGAGCAGUCAAAUGCUAAAGUCUAGGGGAAAAAACAUGGUUACGUAAUAUCGCUAAGUAUGCACAACUAUGGAUCAAAGAAGCUAAGGUAGGAAGUAAGGACAUUUUUCAUAUCAAUAGCAACCAAAAGUUUUGAAGACAAUAAGAAAGCAACCCAACAACUAAUUUUCACCUUAAUAUAACAAAACAACAGUUGCACAACCUAGUAUUUAUAAAACAGAUACAAGAAAUCAGGCUUUGGCAAAAGGCGAGGUGAUAAUCUUUAUGCAGAACACAACAACUUAAGGCAAAAAAAAAAAACAACUAUAUAGCACAAAUUUCCAACCGAAUAGAGAUAAUAGUAAGUGGAAACACAUGUAUGGAUUUAUGAACUUGAUGAAAUAAAGAAUCACAUUGGCAUGGAAAAUAACUUUCAGCAGAGCAAAACAUUUGAACUCCUUCAAAAUUUACUUAACUUUAAGAAGACUUCCACUGUCAUUCACACCACUAAUCAUAUUGAAUCUAAACAAAUAAAUAACGAUACUUGACAAAUAACAACUCUAGAAUGCAACACUGAGAAAGGGCAAGAAGAUUACCUGGUUCUGCGCAGCGACGAGUCUUCCAAGACGACUCCACCUCUUCAACUCGAAAGCCACAAAACGCUUUAAAAUUUUGAACUAUGGGACCAAGAAUUCCCAAAAUUUUAUGGGUACUCUUUGGUCUCCGAAAAUCCUCUCCUAAAUCAGUGAAUGAAGAGGGUUUAUAUAGGGCCACUUCUGGGUUGGAAUUGAGGGGGAAAAUGAUGUGGGAAUGCCUCACGAUUUAGAACUCUUAAUGGAUAAGGUAGAGGGAGCUGGAAUUCGUACGAAUUCUCAAUAGAUUGAGAACCAAG
RNAcentral lists this unclassified non-coding RNA (2043 nucleotides) under Hevea brasiliensis (rubber tree). Lineage: Eukaryota; Viridiplantae; Streptophyta; Magnoliopsida; Malpighiales; Euphorbiaceae. The record is from RNAcentral.